RNAcentral lists this transfer RNA (91 nucleotides) under Rickettsiales bacterium. RNAcentral's name for it is "tRNA-Ser". It matches the Rfam family "tRNA". Rfam says of the family: Transfer RNA (tRNA) molecules are approximately 80 nucleotides in length. Lineage: Bacteria; Pseudomonadati; Pseudomonadota; Alphaproteobacteria; Rickettsiales. The record is from RNAcentral.
GGAGAGAUGGCAGAGUGGUUGAAUGCGCCUGACUCGAAAUCAGGUAUAUCUGUUAAGGGUAUCGGGAGUUCAAAUCUCCCUCUCUCCGCCA